AGAGCGAACGCUGGCGGCAGGCUUAACACAUGCAAGUCGAGCGGGCGUAGCAAUACGUCAGCGGCAGACGGGUGAGUAACGCGUGGGAACAUACCUUUUGGUUCGGAACAACACAGGGAAACUUGUGCUAAUACCGGAUAAGCCCUUACGGGGAAAGAUUUAUCGCCGAAAGAUUGGCCCGCGUCUGAUUAGCUAGUUGGUGAGGUAACGGCUCACCAAGGCGACGAUCAGUAGCUGGUCUGAGAGGAUGAUCAGCCACACUGGAACUGAGACACGGUCCAGACUCCUACGGGAGGCAGCAGUGGGGAAUAUUGGACAAUGGGCGCAAGCCUGAUCCAGCAAUGCCGCGUGUGUGAAGAAGGCCUUCGGGUUGUAAAGCACUUUUAUCAGGAACGAAUACUACCGGUUAAUAACCGGUGGGCUGACGGUACCUGAGGAAUAAGCACCGGCUAACUUCGUGCCAGCAGCCGCGGUAA
Molecule: ribosomal RNA, 476 nt
Filed under: uncultured bacterium
Lineage: Bacteria
Description: SSU rRNA
Rfam family: Bacterial small subunit ribosomal RNA
Source: RNAcentral